GGUUUUGUGGUCUAGCGGUAUGAUUCUCGCUUAGGGUGCGAGAGGUCCCGGGUUCAAGUCCCGGCAAAGCCC
This 72-nucleotide transfer RNA is filed under the name Coemansia erecta. RNAcentral describes it as "tRNA-Pro". It matches the Rfam family "tRNA". Rfam says of the family: Transfer RNA (tRNA) molecules are approximately 80 nucleotides in length. Their secondary structure includes four short double-helical elements and three loops (D, anti-codon, and T loops). Further hydrogen bonds mediate the characteristic L-shaped molecular structure. tRNAs have two regions of fundamental functional importance: the anti-codon, which is responsible for specific mRNA codon recognition, and the 3' end, to which the tRNAs corresponding amino acid is attached (by aminoacyl-tRNA synthetases). tRNAs cope with the degeneracy of the genetic code in two manners: having more than one tRNA (with a specific anti-codon) for a particular amino acid; and 'wobble' base-pairing, i.e. permitting non-standard base-pairing at the 3rd anti-codon position. Lineage: Eukaryota; Fungi; Kickxellomycota; Kickxellomycetes; Kickxellales; Kickxellaceae. The record is from RNAcentral. RNAcentral also lists the same sequence under 11 other names.